RNAcentral lists this long non-coding RNA (2525 nucleotides) under Salmo trutta (river trout). RNAcentral describes it as "lncRNA (ENSSTUG00000003048.1)". Lineage: Eukaryota; Metazoa; Chordata; Actinopteri; Salmoniformes; Salmonidae. The record is from RNAcentral.
UGUUUUCUUUUUUAGGGUUAAAAGAAGAAAGGAAUCGUGAAAGUGGCUACUUCUCUCUGGGGAGGGCAGGAGGAGCCCGUUCUCUCAGGGAUCAGAGCCCCCCUCCCGUUUACCGCCAUUCAGAGAGGGGACACCCCCUCUACAGCAACCGGAGCCCUGAGCCCAAAGCUACCAUCCCCUUCAGGAACCCUAACCUGGGGCUGGCCUCGGAGAGGUUAAACCCAGAGAUACUAAACCCAGACCUGCCUCUGGAAAUCCCUGAACCUCCUGACGCAUUUGAUCUCACCAUCGAGGUUGAGGCUCAGGUGGGCCCUCGCUCCCCAAGCCCCACCCCUUUUAAGAUAGCAGAAUCCCUGGCCUCCACUAACCGGAGGGGUUUCAACAGCUCAUACAGUAGAAGAAACUCCCAUUCCUAUCAGGAGUCUGGGAAGUUAAAUUCAUCGAGACAAAGCUCCUCUCUGUCCCACUCCUCUUCACCCUUACGAAACACCUCCCCAUUCAAACGAAGUGAAUGUACCACCUCCCUCAACAGACGGGGCUUAGACUCUGAGGGCUGGUCUCAGGGGUGGGACCAGACUUCUAGAGGUCCCCCCCAGAGCUCUUUUGGACGAGGUGUUGAUAUUAGAGGCUUGAAUAAAAAUGUAAUAUCGAUGGCCAGUUCAGUUGGUUCCAUAUCACAGGUCAACUCUGUUUCAGAUUUUAAAAGUGCAUUGCGCAAGAAUGAGACAGACAGCUCCUUAAAUGGUCGUGGACGUGACACUCGAAGCUCCGCCCCUUCAAGGAGGGGUUACGAAAGCCCCAGACAAUCCCUGGUCCGCAAAUCUGAAACAAGUAACUCCUUAAAUGGCCGUGACAGCAGAAGCUCAUCUCCCUCGAGGAGAGCUUAUGACACCUCCAACCAAACCCUGCUUCGCAAAUCUGAUGGGAACAGCUUGAUAAAUGGUCGUGAAAGUCGCAAUUCUUCUCCCUCAAGGAGGAGUUACGAUGCCACCAGCCACUCCCUCCUUCGCAAAUCUGAAACAAACAGUUCUCUCAAUGGUCAUAGUCGACACGGCGGCCGGUGUGGCUCUCCCAUUAGGGAGGGUUAUGAUGCCGAAAGACAAUCUCUGUGGAAAUCAGCUUCUAGUAAUGACUUAAAUGUUCAUGCCUAUGAAAGUGGUAGCUCUUCACCUUCUAGACGUGACUUUGACACUCCUUGUCAAUUCCUGCUAUGCAAAAGUGAGACACGUGGCUAUGGAAAUGGUCGAGGUCGUGACAGUGGAAGCUCCUCUCCCUCUAGGAAAGGCUAUGAUGCCCCGAGCCAGUCACCUCUGCGCAAAAGUGAAUCCAACAGCUACUUGAAUAGUCAAGGUCGAGACAGUCGAAGCUCCUCCCCUUUGAGAAAGGGAUAUGAUCCCCCUGGCCAAUCACUGCUUCGUAAAUCUGAGACGAACAGCUCUGUCAGAAGUCAAAGUCGUGAUCGUCCUACCUCCUCUCCCUCUAGGAGAGGCUAUGAUACACCAAGCCAGUCAUCACUGCGCAAAAGUGAAUCCAAAAACUACAUGAAUAGUCAAAGUCGAGACAGUAGAAGCUCCUCCCCUUUGAGAAAGGGAUAUGAUGCCCCUGGCCAAUCACUGCUUUGUAAAUCAGAGACGAACAGCUCUGUCAUAUGUCAAAGUCGGGGUAGUCGUAGCUCCUCCCCUUCAAGGAGGGGCCAUGAUACCCCCGGCCAAUCACUACUGCACAAAUCUGAGAAGAGUGGGGCCCUCAACGGUCCGAGCCGUGACAGUCGCAACUCCUCGCCAUCCAAAAGAGGCAAUGACCCACCAGGUCAGUCACUCCUCAGGAAAACCACCAGUAGUGGUGACUCCAGCCUCUCUUACCAGAGAAAAAACACUUACGGUGAUGCUCGGCCUGACUCUAACCCCUCCCCUGGCGCCUGGCGAGGCUCCACCCACUUCCUACAUAGCACCUCCCCAUCGAAGGAGGGCAGAGAGAACAAAACAUCUGACUCCUCUCAGAGGGCCUCUGCUGUCACCUGGGAAACCACCAGGAGUAGCAGUAGUAGGCAGGGUCUGGAGACUCGUAGCUCCUCCCCAAACACAAAAGGAUUGACCAACCGCAACCUAAGUCCCUCCCCUCAGAUGCAAAGGCAAACCUCGUCCCAGAGUUCCAUUGAGUCCUUGGAGUCUGGCCAGUUGUCGGGGGAGUCAGCGGAGAGGAGUAGGGAGGGGUACGCAAUGAUGGCCGAUCUACCAAAGGUCAAGCCUGUCCUCCAAAGGGAGCAGCAUGGUCAUGUGGGACAGACUCCAAACCGACCCUCAGGGAGACAGGAGCUCUUCAAACCAGCAAGCCACUCCCUCUCCAAGCAUCCCUCCAGACAGUGGCUAGAUGACUCAGGGGACCUAGAGAGAAACCACAUAGAAUGGCAAAAUGGCAGCAGUGGUAGACUGUCUCGAGUACACUCGUCCACCUCUUUGCACAUGCAGGUGAGUCGUUCUGCCAAUUUAGUGCAUUUUGAGAAGUGUACUAUAACUUGGUCAAAA